This 1255-nucleotide ribosomal RNA is filed under the name Phoreiobothrium sp. MS05-293-5. RNAcentral's name for it is "eukaryotic LSU rRNA". It matches the Rfam family "Eukaryotic large subunit ribosomal RNA", at positions 65 to 807 of the family's 3401-position model. The record is from RNAcentral. Lineage: Eukaryota; Metazoa; Platyhelminthes; Cestoda; Tetraphyllidea; Onchobothriidae.
CUAACCAGGAUUCCCCUAGUAACGGCGAGUGAAGAGGGAAAAGCCCAGCACCGAAGCCUGCGUCAGUUUUGAUGUUAGGCAAUGUGGUGUUUGGGUCGGCUCGCGGGAUUGCCACUCCACUCGAAGUCCAGCAUUGAGUAUGGUCACUGGAUUUGGCCCAGAGAGGGUGAAAGGCCCGUACGGGUGGAGGUUCAGACAUGUAAGGCAAUUCACCAGGCCGACCUUCGAGUCGGGUUGUUUGGGAAUGCAGCCCAAAGUGGGUGGUAAACUCCAUCCAAGGCUAAAUACAAGCACGAGUCCGAUAGCGAACAAGUACCGUGAGGGAAAGUUGAAAAGUACUUUGAAGAGAGAGUAAACAGUACGUGAAACCGCAUGCAGGUAAACGGGUGGCGUCAAGCUGCGAGCCCAGAGGAUUCAGCUGGCUAGUAUGUAGUGUAUGCGCCUGGCGCAUCAAUCAGUCAGAGUAGGAUGUGAUAGUCCACUGGUAAACGGUGGGCCUGGCCGCAAGGUUGGGUGAUGUGUACCGGGUGGAAGCCGGAGCAUGCUAUCCGUCUAGGGACUGUCUAGCCAGUGCACUUUCUCUGUGGUGAACACCACGACCGGUGGAAUUGCCAGUCUGCUGUAGUCAAGUCGUGUCUGGUAGGUCCUUGUGGCCAACUGGGUGCGGCGAUCACAGGCAAUGUCAGUAAACGGCACAGAGGUGCUUCGGUACUUUUGUGUGUUAUCGGCUACUGCUUGUCAACGGGCCUGCCUGAUGGUUGUUGUAACCGCCUCAGGUGGUCUGGUGGACUAUGGUGGUAAGAAUAACUGUGCAAGGCACCGGAGUUAUCGGCCUCAAAUGCAUCUCGCCUACGCGUUACAAGUGGUGUGGGGUGUCGUUGCUGCCUGCCUGUUGUUAGGUCUGAUUGUCGUGUCGCCUGCGCAAAGUGGGCCCGGCAGUGGCUUGAUGCAGGAUGGGUAGUGGAUGGCGCCUCCUGUGUGGGAUGUGGUGGGCCUAAUAGUCAGUGGUGUAGUGGUAGACGAGCUACCCGACCCGUCUUGAAACACGGACCAAGGAGUUUAACAUGUAUGCGAGUCAAUGGGUCCUACGAAACCCAAAGGCGCAGUGAAAGUGAAGCUUCGACUUGUUCUCGAAGUGAGGUGAGAUCCUGCUGUUACUCGCAUCAGCCUUAUGUCAGCAUCAGGCUAAGAGCGGUAGGCGCAUCACCGGCCCGUCCCAUGAUGUGGUCAUUGGAUUGCUUGCAGUGGUCCUCGU